UUUAACAUUAGCUUCUGCUAAGUAGCACGUUGGUAUAGCGCAUUAACUGCUGGUAAAUACCUUGUUGGUAGCUAUUUCACUUUAGCUUCCUCUAAAUACUAUGUUGGUUUAGGGCUUUAGCAUUAGCAUAGACAAUGUUUAUGAUUAGUGCUUUAGGGUUGGCGCAGCUAGAUUUUUACUUGGCAGUGUGAAACUGCCAAUCGCUCCAUGCUAGCUCACAUCAGAGCCAGAGAGAUUCGUCGUCUCCAUGACAACACCCUAAGAUGAACAAACCGGACCCGGAUUAGUCCAACCGAACCAGGAAGUUCAGGCAAGAGCAUGAAAAGCAGAUGGAGAACAAAGACUGUGUUUCCAGUUGCUACAGCAACGGUGAGGACGGUGGUCAGAGCCACAGCAGAAGGUCAGAGGGUUUACAUUAAGUUCAUUUUUCAGCAGGAAGUCAGUACCUGCAGACAGGAAGUGGAACAAUCUGGGUCAGAAUCAGCCUGACGAGCCUUCAGCUGGACUUUUAGGGUGGAGACGGAUGGACAGUCAGUCAGUGAAUCAGUUAAGUGAAUCAGUGAUUCAGUUAGUGAAUCAGUGAUUCAGUCAGUCAGUCGGUUUGGUUCUGCUGCAGCGGUCCAGUAACCAGCGGCUCGCCCUCCAGGCUCUGAUCAUUCCCAGAACCGGAUCAUGAAUUAUGGAGAAGCUCUUGUGACUCCGUCUCUUUAAGGUUAGCGUCGCUCUCUCUCUGACCGCCUCUCUCUGCCUCUGACACACACUGUCUCCAUGGCAACGCCCUUAAAGGGCCACACCACCCUGUGUCGUCCAGCCGGUGACUGCUGAGGCUCCAUCAAUCUGCAGCUGAUCCAUUUACAUGCAUCGAAAUGCUGCGACAUGAUUGGCUGAUUCGCCGGUUAUCUAACAGUUUUUAUGAGUUAAGGAAGGAGGGAGGGAGGAAAGAGAGAAGGAAGGAAGGAAGCAUAGAAGGAAGGAAGGAUUUUCCAUAUUAUCAUUUAAAUCCCGUCAGGAAGGUUAGCGUUAAUAAAAAUAUAGUCCAAGUAUUUUCUCCUGUAGACGAGGAUGUUUGUCAGAGGAAUAAAUGAAAGCGCAGCAGCUAAUUUAGCGUCUCCAGAGUCUGUCAGCACUUUGUGUUGAUGAGUUUCUCUGCAGCGGCGGAUUCGCUCCAGAGACGCCGUCCUGUUCGCUUCCUGGCCUCAUAAAGUCUGUCUCUGGGAGGAAGCGUCGGCUCGGCCUGGAUCUGGGGAAACGAGUCUGUUCUGCCACGUCCCGGUUGUUUCUGGGCCGUUUCUGCGCUAACGGUCCAGACUGACUGCUGCUGCUGAAACCGUGGAGAGGUUUUCAUUAUGUAGAGUCACUUUGUGCUUCACAGAGACGAAUGUUUACUUUAAUAUGACAAACUAAGCUAACCGAGCUAAACUGCUGAGUCAGGCCCAUCGUCUCCACCCAGAAGAAAAGCAACAUUAUGGAUGGAUGUUCCUCUCACUAAUGGACUCUGACUCUAUUAGGACAGUCGGUAAUAUUCCCUAUCUGAAGCAUUAGGAGGGAUUAGCGAACAUUAGCCUCUCUGUAUGAAUCUGAACGCUUUAUUUACUCUGCUGCGGUUCGUCUGUCUGAAGGAGGAUCUGUUGGUGUACAGGAAUAUUCUGGAAGGAUGUGGAAAACUGUUCCCAACUAAAAAUCUGAACAUUAUUUUCGCAGUUAAGGUUUGUAAGUGAUGCAGAACUAUAUGGUUAACAUUUUUAAUUAUUUAUGGUAAAUUUAAUAUUCACACCUCCAAACAAUUUCAAUUAUAGGACUAGCUGUUAAAAUUAAGCUUAAAUGCUAAACAACUUUAUUCAAUUGAAAGAUUUACAAAACAGCAAAGCUACAGUUUAAUAAAGAUUAGAGCUUAAAAUUUAUCUGGAAAAUGUGUUUAGGGGAAGCUGAGUGUGCUAAAUGUUUUCAAAGCUAGCUAAAGCACAGAAUAAAAAAUUAGCUCCACUAUUAGCAACUGGAUCAAGCAAUGUGAAGAUGGUACAUAACUAUAAGUCAAUUAAAUAACCUAAGUUGUGAAUUUUAAUUGUUUAUGUUGAGAAUUAUAGAAUAAACAUUGAAUCCUUACAAACUGCCUUGUUGUGUAUUAGCUUGCUAGCCUGUUAGCUUCAAAAGCUAACACUGAUGUUCUCAGAGGAUUUUCCGUCAGCAAAAUUAUCAGAACAAAUUUCAAACAAUUUAACAUUUCAGUACAAACCUAAUAUUUCAGAUU
Poecilia latipinna (sailfin molly) is the source of this 2248-nucleotide long non-coding RNA. RefSeq lists it as uncharacterized. The transcript is spliced from 2 exons. Lineage: Eukaryota; Metazoa; Chordata; Actinopteri; Cyprinodontiformes; Poeciliidae. The record is from RefSeq and is a predicted model, not a curated record.